AGCGAACGCUGGCGGCAGGCUUAACACAUGCAAGUCGAACGGAUCCUUCGGGAUUAGUGGCGGACGGGUGAGUAACACGUGGGAACGUGCCUUUUGGUUCGGAACAACACAGGGAAACUUGUGCUAAUACCGGAUGUGCCCUUCGGGGGAAAGGAUUUAUCGCCAUUAGAGCGGCCCGCGUCUGAUUAGCUAGUUGGUGAGGUAAAGGCUCACCAAGGCUAC
This 222-nucleotide ribosomal RNA is filed under the name uncultured bacterium. Its description in RNAcentral is "partial 16S ribosomal RNA". It matches the Rfam family "Bacterial small subunit ribosomal RNA", at positions 29 to 277 of the family's 1533-position model. The record is from RNAcentral.